Molecule: long non-coding RNA, 407 nt
Filed under: Manihot esculenta (cassava)
Lineage: Eukaryota; Viridiplantae; Streptophyta; Magnoliopsida; Malpighiales; Euphorbiaceae
Description: long non-coding RNA (MESC_LNC003294)
Source: RNAcentral
GCGAAGCCCAUCUGCCGAGUGGUCCAUGGUGAAGGAGUGCGCGGGUGCGUGAAUUCGGUCCUCUCACGUGAAUGGGCUGUCCACGGUGGAGUGGGCGUUGAAAUGCUUUCGUGGGCCCAAGUUGACUGAUCCAUGGUGCGUUCCACGGUGUAGGGCACUGGCGGGUCCAUCUGCGCGUUUGGGGCUGGUCCAUAAGCAUCCAUGGGCUGCUAUGUGCAGGCCCAAGUGUCCUUUUGCUGCCCAAUUAUUUCUUGGCUCUAAAUAAGGCAGUUUUAGGGGGUUUUUCUCCAAAUUGUCAUUUUACACCAUUUUCUGCAAAAUAAUAUUAAAAGCAAUAAAUUAAGCAGAAAUCAUAUAAAUAUUUAUCAAUAAUAUUAAUAUAAAAUGGACUAAUUUAUGCUCUAUCA